Molecule: non-coding RNA, 1429 nt
Organism: Pelodiscus sinensis (Chinese soft-shelled turtle)
Lineage: Eukaryota; Metazoa; Chordata; Testudines; Trionychidae
Source: RefSeq, a predicted model, not a curated record
UUACUCCUAUAGUUAAAUAUUUUUGUUUUGUAGGCAAAACAGGUUUCAAUGGUUUUUACCCCUUCUUGUGGGUGAAUUACCCCACUGUGUAAUUAUUAAAUUUAGGAGGUGUACUUUAGUUUUCCUCUUAUACAGCAGACUAAGUUAGUAAGUUUCUGCUGUGUUAGGUUUAUGAAUAGAGAGUAGCCAAGAAGCAUUAUUACUAUAAUGCUGGGAGGGUUUUAAGUGUGAGAUGUGUUUCCAAUGAUUAUUUUAACAUUUUAAAGGUUUUUCUUUCUUUAAAAAGAAAAUCAUGUACAAAUACAGGGUUACGUAUGAACAACCCUGUGUUUUACUAGCAUUAAACAACAAGUAGCCCUGUGGAUCUUACCAAUAGGUGUUUAAGUAUUCUGUGAUAGCAUGCCUUUUAUUUAGACAAGUUAGCUUUGAGACCAGUGUGUUUAAAACCAUCUUGAAAUUUUUCCAUAUGCUUUCCAAUCCUUUUUGUUCUGAUCUCAGGUAGUUUGCUAAUCAAACUAUCUAUUUACCUGCAAACCUUCUUUGUGCUGCCAGCUAGGGCAUUUGCACCACAGACACUUUCUGGCUUGCUUUUAGAUUAAAAGCUGUUUGUAGCUUUGUCUUAAAAAGGGACACAAUAACUUUUGCCAGAGAUUUACAGUUUUGAGUUUUUACUUUAAGUUCUGCUUUCUCACACAGCAACCUGAAAAGGAAAUUACAACCUGUUGUGGCUCCUGGAGCCUUCACAGGAUUUUGAUUUGUUUCCAGUUUUUACCUCCUUCUACAAUAUACAUUGCAUGUCACAGGAAAAUGUGCAUUCUUUGUUUAUAAUGUUAUUUAGCCAUAUUAAUUUUUGCAUCGGGUGUAACUAUUUGUUUUAUGCUUACUGAGUUUUCCUAUACUUUUAUUAAACAACUUGGUAUGAAAUGGCUUUACUAAAAACAAAACAAACCAAUUUGUUUUAAGCAUACAAAACAGUUUACUAACCUACAAAACAGGAGUUCUGGAUCUUAAAAACCUUACCUACUAUUUACACUGUAUUUACACACAGAUACAUGCAUAUAUUCUCUGAAUAUUUCUAACACUAUUUUUACAUACCUGUACAAAGAUUACAUUCACUUUUAUUCAUUUGGGGGUACUUAAGUUCCCAAUAGAACCCCCUUGAAGUUUUUUAGUUAAAUUUGCCUGGAUUAUUUACAGACACUCUUUUGGAAAAGGGCCCCUUUUUCCUUCAGAAUGGCUGCAAAGAAACCAAGAAUUCUUUUCCUAUAACAUUUUAGCAUUUUCACAACUGCUCAAUUCCUUCCAUACUCUGUAGAGUUAACUUUUCUGUGGGUUUUUUUUUUUUCUUUCUUUCUUAAAACACUUUAUUUCUUAAAAUGAAAACUGGCCUUGCUUCAGAUAUUACUUCUUGUAAGUAUUGUUUUAAGAA